RNAcentral lists this ribosomal RNA (254 nucleotides) under uncultured bacterium. RNAcentral's name for it is "partial 16S ribosomal RNA". It matches the Rfam family "Bacterial small subunit ribosomal RNA", at positions 524 to 776 of the family's 1533-position model. The record is from RNAcentral.
UACGGGGGGAGCAAGCGUUGUUCGGAUUUACUGGGCGUAAAGGGCGUGUAGGCGGCCACCGCAAGUCGACUGUGAAAUCUCCGGGCUUAACUCGGAAAGGUCAGCCGAUACUGCGGGGCUAGAGUGCAGAAGGGGCAACUGGAAUUCUCGGUGUAGCGGUGAAAUGCGUAGAUAUCGGGAGGAACACCGGUGGCGAAGGCGGUUCUCUGGGCCUUACCUGACGCUGAGGAGCGAAAGCGUGGGGAGCGAACAGG